Molecule: ribosomal RNA, 477 nt
Filed under: uncultured Acidobacteriota bacterium
Lineage: Bacteria; Pseudomonadati; Acidobacteriota
Description: bacterial SSU rRNA
Rfam family: Bacterial small subunit ribosomal RNA
Source: RNAcentral
GAGGGGCCCGCGCCCGAUUAGCUUGUUGGUAGGGUAACGGCCUACCAAGGCCUUGAUCGGUAGCCGGUCUGAGAGGAUGGCCGGCCACACUGGAACUGAGACACGGCCCAGACUCCUACGGGAGGCAGCAGUGGGGAAUCUUGCGCAAUGGGCGAAAGCCUGACGCAGCGACGCCGCGUGGGGGAUGAAGCUUCUCGGAGUGUAAACCCCUUUCGACCCGGACGAAUGGCCCGCAAGGGACGUGACGGUACGGGUAGAAGAAGCCCCGGCUAACUACGUGCCAGCAGCCGCGGUAAGACGUAGGGGGCCAGCGUUGCUCGGAAUUACUGGGCGUAAAGGGUCCGUAGGCGGUGCGGCAAGUCGGGGGUGAAAUCUCUGGGCUUAACUCAGAGGCUGCCUCCGAAACUGCCGUGCUCGAGUGCGGGAGAGGCGAGCGGAAUUGCAGGUGUAGCGGUGAAAUGCGUAGAUAUCUGCAGG